UACGAAGGGGGCUAGCGUUGCUCGGAAUCACUGGGCGUAAAGGGUGCGUAGGCGGGUCUUUAAGUCAGGGGUGAAAUCCUGGAGCUCAACUCCAGAACUGCCUUUGAUACUGAAGAUCUUGAGUUCGGGAGAGGUGAGUGGAACUGCGAGUGUAGGGGUGAAAUUCGUAGAUAUUCGCAAGAACACCAGUGGCGAAGGUGGCUCACUGGCCCGAUACUGACGCUGAGGCACGAAAGCGUGGGGAGCAAACAGG
This 253-nucleotide ribosomal RNA is filed under the name uncultured bacterium. Its description in RNAcentral is "partial 16S ribosomal RNA". It matches the Rfam family "Bacterial small subunit ribosomal RNA", at positions 524 to 776 of the family's 1533-position model. The record is from RNAcentral.